RNAcentral lists this ribosomal RNA (491 nucleotides) under uncultured bacterium. Its description in RNAcentral is "partial 16S ribosomal RNA". It matches the Rfam family "Bacterial small subunit ribosomal RNA", at positions 28 to 507 of the family's 1533-position model. The record is from RNAcentral.
GAUGAACGCUGGCUACAGGCUUAACACAUGCAAGUCGAGGGGAAACGACGGGGAAGCUUGCUUCCCCGGGCGUCGACCGGCGCACGGGUGAGUAACGCGUAUCCAACCUGCCUCUGACUGAGGGAUAACCCGUCGAAAGUCGGCCUAAUACCUCAUGGCAUCGUCUGCGGGCAUCCAACGACGAUUAAAGAUUUCAUCGGUCAGGGAUGGGGAUGCGUCUGAUUAGCUUGUUGGCGGGGUAACGGCCCACCAAGGCUACGAUCAGUAGGGGUUCUGAGAGGAAGGUCCCCCACAUUGGAACUAAGACACGGUCCAAACUCCUACGGGAGGCAGCAGUGAGGAAUAUUGGUCAAUGGGCGGGAGCCUGAACCAGCCAAGUAGCGUGCAGGAUGACGGCCCUAUGGGUUGUAAACUGCUUUUAUGCGGGGAUAAAGUGAGGGACGUGUCCUUCAUUGCAGGUACCGCAUGAAUAAGGACCGGCUAAUUCCGUG